AGCGGUUAAGAGCACUGACUGCUCUUCCAGAGGUCCUGAGUUCAAUUCCCAGCAACCAAUCUCUGAUCUCAAGCUGGCUGCCAGGUGGAAAGGUGUGCAGACAGUCAUGCCUACAAUCACCUCAGAGAAGUAUCGGCAUCAAGUGGAAUGGGCCAUGGAUUCCAUGCGUACACAGGACCAGGAUGAGAGCACUGUGUAGAAGAUAAUUCAUGGCAUGACCACUGAACUCUGAGGUCUACUUCUCCCUGGAAGGCAGAGUGGGAAAUUACAAACUUUUUGUGACACUGGAGGGUACAGAACAGUCAUAUAGCCUGCAGGGUCUCAACACAUACUUAGACUGCCUGCAGGAGGGGUCUGGCCAAGCCACACUCCUUGUGUCUCAAUGGGCAUGAGGCAGAGGAUACCACAGUUCUGCCCCAGGGCAACCUUUGACUAGAAGGCAGCAGCCAGGCAGUAGAUGAAACAAGGGCUGCUGACGAAUAUGUGUUCAUAGAGGAGAAGGAAAAAAAGAA
This 512-nucleotide long non-coding RNA is filed under the name Rattus norvegicus (Norway rat). Its description in RNAcentral is "long non-coding RNA NONRATT029746". The record is from RNAcentral. Lineage: Eukaryota; Metazoa; Chordata; Mammalia; Rodentia; Muridae.